ACUUUAGUCAUUUCUAAUUUCUCUCGACCUUUUCGGUCAACUCUUAAAUUGGUUAGGUAGAGUUCGAUUCCAUGAGCGCGUAGGAGUAAACAGAUCUUAUUUCCGAGCCCGAACGGAGAAAUUAGAGUCGUUUAAAGUUGAUGGCAUUUUGGUAAUAUUACCAAAUUGCUAUAAUUUAAGUGGGAGGGAAACCUCCAGGAAAAGGGAGAGAGUUUUUCGGAAAAAGGGGGGGAAGAGCUGCCUAACCCGUUUUUAGGGGAAAUUGAUCAAUAAACCCACCAAACUUGACCCGAUUGUAUCUUUUUCAUCCGAGCUCCGUUUUGGAUGAUCUUGGUGUCCAUGGAAAGCUCUUGACGAGCCCUAUAUUUCUGUGAUUUUAGAUUUCCCCAUUUCUUUUCCAUCUUUGCAGCUCAAGGUCGCAAAGUCCACGACUGUUCCGGCGGUUUUAUCAUUUUUUCCGGCGAUUCCAGCAACGAUUUCCUUUGAGUGAGGUGGAUUGGAACUGAGUUCUGUUUGGAUUUCGUUGAGUGAUGGUCCGGAAUCCCCUUUGGAGCCUUGGUUCGGUGGGUGGUCCAAAAUCCCCUUUUCCAAAAAUGUAGUCUUCAACUGAAUUGUGUUGCUCUAGCCUUGCACUUCGACUUGUGGUAUGUGUUAUUGAUUGUUGUGAUUAUGGAAUGACAUUGGAUAUGAGUGGAGUUAUCAUGAGUAUUUUAGUUGAUUAAUAUUUCUAAAGAAUAAUAUGUACUUUGUUGAUUCUUAAAUAUGUUACACGCUAUGAAACGCGAAUUUAUGUGGGAACGUGAUGAUUUAUUUGAUGGAUGAAGUGGAAAUGUUAAUCGUCAUGUGGGAUUGUUAUGUUGGAUAUCUUUGUUAUUGUUAUAAUUAGACUUGUUGAUAAACGUGGCUCGAGAAUGGUAUUGUACAUCGUUGGUUCUUUGAAAUGAUAUAUGUUGUGAAUUGCGGUA
Pyrus x bretschneideri (Chinese white pear) is the source of this 965-nucleotide long non-coding RNA. RefSeq lists it as uncharacterized. The record is from RefSeq and is a predicted model, not a curated record. The transcript has 2 exons. NCBI's taxonomy places the organism in Eukaryota, Viridiplantae, Streptophyta, Magnoliopsida, Rosales, Rosaceae.